CAUGUUGUAAGCUCACCUGCUGCGGAUCUAUUCUCUCAACUAGCCUUACAGUAAAUUCCCGAUAGAGAUGGGAGCAGAUGGCUGGAAUACUGCCGAGCUGGCGGGAAACGAUGAAGGAAUAUUUCAGCUGGAUCCAGAGUCUGGAUUUUUAUGUACUCUCAAGCCCUAUGAUCGGAAGACAAGGGAUCGUACACCGUAACGGCGUUGCUUUCAUGCAGAUGAUCCGUUCCCAGAGAAUGCAGAUUUAUGUUGCACAAUCCUGGACAGUGAGAAGAACGUCUUCCAGAUAGACAGGAGUCUGGAGCAGCGUCCCUACCAGACGGAGGCGACACCAGGACUGGAGCUGCCAGACGCAGGGAGUAGUGCAGCCCUGGAGGGAACCUGUUGAGGGCAGCAUACAUUGGUGCGAUGCCCUGAGCCCCGGUCAGUAAUAUCUCUACUGGGCAGCCCAGGAAUAAGAGGACGCCCCGUGCACUGAGUGGACUGCAGCGCGCGGCUGACUCCGGAGUCGCUCCAUACAGAUUUCCGCAGAGCGACUGGGGGUCUCUUACCUGUCACUAGUUGAUGACAGACGCUUCAAACUGGUAGUUCAGGUGAAAGACAUGGGCGACGAUCCGAAGGGUUACGUAGCAUCCGGAAGCCUGGACGUUGUCGUUGCAGGAAAUACUUGGGUCCAUCCAGGUCCGGCGUCCACUCCUGAGAACCAGAAAGGAAGUUGCCCUCAUACGACUUCUAAACUUGAUAAAGGGCGUCCAGAAACGCAGGAUUCCUGAGUGCAGGUCUUCAUUCUGGAUACAACUGAAAGAUCCUUAUGACACGUAAAGCAGCCGCUGCUGAUAGUACUGAUGGAUGCUCGUGAUGUCAGAGGCGCGAGACGUAGACCUCACGUAGGUCAGGUGCACCCGUGGAGCAGGCUACAUGUCUGGUACUGAUGCAGGAGUCUCACUGUGUAGUGUCCCACUAGGUAAAUGUGGGCACUACACAAGGGUCAAUUGGGCCACGUGGUACUUCUACUCUUAAGGGACAGUGGCAGAGUAUUUAACAGUCCAUUUUAAUGUAUUUUUAUAUGCUUUAUGUUCAUUUCUUCCCUGUGAUGUGUGCAGCAGGCCUAUUAGGGUGUAGUUAAGCAUCCUAGACACUAGAGGGGGAUAGGGAGCCC
Long non-coding RNA from Bufo gargarizans (Asiatic toad), 1159 nucleotides. RefSeq lists it as uncharacterized. The transcript is spliced from 4 exons. Lineage: Eukaryota; Metazoa; Chordata; Amphibia; Anura; Bufonidae. The record is from RefSeq and is a predicted model, not a curated record.